UACGUAGGGUGCGAGCGUUAAUAGGAUUUACUGGGCGUAAAGCGUGCGCAGGCGGCCCGUUAAGACAGGUGUGAAAUCCCUGGGCUCAACCUAGGAAUUGCGCUUGUGACUGGCGGGCUCGAGUACGGUAGAGGGGGGUGGAAUUCCAGGUGUAGCAGUGAAAUGCGUAGAGAUCAGGAGGAACACCGAUGGCGAAGGCAGCCCCCUGGGCCUGUACUGACGCUCAUGCACGAAAGCGUGGGGAGCAAACAGG
This 253-nucleotide ribosomal RNA is filed under the name uncultured microorganism. Its description in RNAcentral is "partial 16S ribosomal RNA". It matches the Rfam family "Bacterial small subunit ribosomal RNA", at positions 524 to 776 of the family's 1533-position model. The record is from RNAcentral.